GUGGGCGGUUCGCCGCUGGCGACGUCGCGAGAAGUCCACUGAACCUUAUCAUUUAGAGGAAGGAGAAGUCGUAACAAGGUUUCCGUAGGUGAACCUGCGGAAGGAUCAUUGUCGAAACCUGCAAGGCAGAACGACCCGUGAACAAGUGAAAACCAACGCGGGCGACGGGCCCCCCGGGGACCGUCGCUCGAAGCCCGGGUGGGGUGGGGGACGUGGGAGACCACAGCCCCCCUCCCGCGGGCACAACGAACCCCGGCGCGAACCGCGCCAAGGAACCAAACAAAGAUGUGCGCCCCCCACGCCUGGGAACAGUGUCGGGGGGGACGCGUCGUCGUCCAUAUUACAUAUAAACGACUCUCGGCAACGGAUAUCUCGGCUCUCGCAUCGAUGAAGAACGUAGCGAAAUGCGAUACUUGGUGUGAAUUGCAGAAUCCCGUGAACCAUCGAGUUUUUGAACGCAAGUUGCGCCCGAAGCCGUCAGGCCGAGGGCACGCCUGCCUGGGUGUCACGCAACGUCGCCACAACCCCCUCAACCCCCUGCGAAGGGAACGGCGAGGGGUGGCGGAGAUUGGCCUCCCGUGCGCUCCCGCUCGCGGUUGGCCCAAAGAACAGCCCCCUGGCGAUGGCAGCCACGGCACGCGGUGGUUGGAAGCACUGGCUACUCGAACUGCUGUGGGCGAGCCUCGUCGACGGGGAGCGAAAGACCCUGACGCAAGCGUCCCAACAAAGCGACCCCAGGUCAGGCGGGAACACCCGCUGAGUUUAAGCAUAUCAA
Molecule: small RNA, 775 nt
Filed under: Celastrus sp. 3 MR-2013
Lineage: Eukaryota; Viridiplantae; Streptophyta; Magnoliopsida; Celastrales; Celastraceae
Description: eukaryotic LSU rRNA
Rfam family: 5.8S ribosomal RNA (bases 353-508)
Source: RNAcentral